GUUUUGAUCAUCACCAUCACCACUAUCUUUUCUACGUUUUAUACCAACUCUGGAAGUCGAUUUUUGCAAUUCUUUAUCCUCUUUUCCCUCAACAGCACCACUCUUUGCAGUAGAAGGAACGUCCUUAACAAGUGCAUGAACUGCUGCUUGAUCAGCAGGUGGGAGACUUUCCCAUCCAGACAACUUCUCCACUUGGAUAGAUGGGUACAAAUCCACAAAACAGGUGAAGUGAUGCCAAGCCAACCCCUUAGCUCGUGGCUCUUCAGGCUUCGAGGAUAAACGAACCUGUCCCUUCAUAAUCUUUUGGUUGCAGCGCCUGCAAGUAGCACGAGAAGUUUGUGAAACUUCAAU
Molecule: unclassified non-coding RNA, 351 nt
Filed under: Hevea brasiliensis (rubber tree)
Lineage: Eukaryota; Viridiplantae; Streptophyta; Magnoliopsida; Malpighiales; Euphorbiaceae
Source: RNAcentral